CAUUGCCCGACCUACCUAAAGCUGGAGAGGGGGACUGAAGAGAGCAUACAGCACUCACCUGGAAAUCGACCCACAAGGGAGCUGUAUCCCAGACAAGAUCAUCACAAGUGGCAGCCACACACCCAGCGCGGGAAUCUGCAGCCUCAUGAUGGCUACCGCGAUUACAAGUGGGUCAGUACCUGUUACCAGAAUGAACUCAUACCACCCAAGGACAAUAACCUGCCGCAGAUAGGCAUCGGCUAAACUGCCUCUCACAGGUCCCAUGUGGUCAAGCUUCCGCUCAGGGCUUGGGGAUCACAGACUAUUGCUCCACUAUAAGCAAUAAUUUUACCAGCCUAGCUCCCCAGUGGCUAUAUUAUAUUAUUUUGUUUUAUUCCCUCCUGCAUUCUGUCUAGCAGUAUAACACAUUAAUGUCUUGCAUAUUAUUUUACUCAGCAUCCUGGGAAAUAACACCCAUGGCGUACAAAAUUAAUGUUUUCAUGUUAUAUGUUCCAUCAUAGCAUCACCCUGUUUCUACCUACAAAAAGUUACGCCUGUUACUCUUGUAAUAUCAUUUUUUAUUUCAUAAAAAUGUGCAGACUUAUCAAAUGCCAUACGAAUGUCUAUGUUUUGAAAAGCUUGCACUAGCUGUUGUGGCAUGGCAAGACUGUUUGUAAAAUCUAUGCACAGCCAAAAUAAAGAAUAAAA
Non-coding RNA from Pelobates cultripes (western spadefoot toad), 687 nucleotides. The record is from the annotation of a GenBank genome assembly. Lineage: Eukaryota; Metazoa; Chordata; Amphibia; Anura; Pelobatidae.